AGUCGAACGAGAGAUGAGGAGCUUGCUCUUCAAAUCGAGUGGCGAACGGGUGAGUAACGCGUGAGGAACCUGCCUCAAAGAGGGGGACAACAGUUGGAAACGACUGCUAAUACCGCAUAAGCCCACGGCUCGGCAUCGAGCAGAGGGAAAAGGAGUGAUCCGCUUUGAGAUGGCCUCGCGUCCGAUUAGCUAGUUGGUGAGGUAAUGGCCCACCAAGGCGACGAUCGGUAGCCGGACUGAGAGGUUGAACGGCCACAUUGGGACUGAGACACGGCCCAGACUCCUACGGGAGGCAGCAGUGGGGAAUAUUGCACAAUGGGGGAAACCCUGAUGCAGCGACGCCGCGUGGAGGAAGAAGGUCUUCGGAUUGUAAACUCCUGUUGUUGAGGAAGAUAAUGACGGUACUCAACAAGGAAGUGACGGCUAACUACGUGCCAGCAGCCGCGGUAAAACGUAGGUCACAAGCGUUGUCCGGAAUUACUGGGUGUAAAGGGAGCGCAGGCGGGAGAACAAGUUGGAAGUGAAAUCCAUGGGCUCAACCCAUGAACUGCUUUCAAAACUGUUUUUCUUGAGUAGUGCAGAGGUAGGCGGAAUUCCCGGUGUAGCGGUGGAAUGCGUAGAUAUCGGGAGGAACACCAGUGGCGAAGGCGGCCUACUGGGCACCAACUGACGCUGAGGCUCGAAAGUGUGGGUAGCAAACAGGAUUAGAUACCCUGGUAGUCCACACCGUAAACGAUGAUUACUAGGUGUUGGAGGAUUGACCCCUUCAGUGCCGCAGUUAACACAAUAAGUAAUCCACCUGGGGAGUACGACCGCAAGG
RNAcentral lists this ribosomal RNA (820 nucleotides) under uncultured bacterium. Its description in RNAcentral is "bacterial SSU rRNA". It matches the Rfam family "Bacterial small subunit ribosomal RNA", at positions 60 to 893 of the family's 1533-position model. The record is from RNAcentral.